Long non-coding RNA from Mus spicilegus (steppe mouse), 1768 nucleotides. NCBI's taxonomy places the organism in Eukaryota, Metazoa, Chordata, Mammalia, Rodentia, Muridae. The record is from Ensembl.
UGGGGAAGCGGCUGGCUGUGAAGUAGAGCCAUUUCAAGAAGGGAAUCAGCAACCCACAGGCCAAGCUAUUUAUGAUGCCCCUGCUAUUCACAGGUAAUUUAUUGUGAGCUUGAGAGCCUGCUGCCUGCAUCGCUUCAGCAUUCAUGAAGCCAAAUCUCAGUGUCUCAGCGGAGCUGGCUCCUGGAGCUGCGGGGCUGUUUGUUCUGAAGGCAGCAGAAGGCCACGUUUCCUCUGGUAGAUGUUAACCAUCUAGUUUCCACCCUGUGAUCGCCUCACCUCAUGUUUGAUUUUUUUUUCUCUCCUAAAUUCUAAUCAUCAGGGGGAAAAAAAAGUCUCCCAGGGCCUUGCUUCAUUUGCAUGGUGGUCCAGAGACCAAUAUCUACCUGUGAAAUCUGUGGUACCUAUCCUAGCCCUGCUGGGGGACAGUGCCUUUUCACAAGAUCCUACAUGUGCACCCACAGAGCGGCAUGAACCCUAUCCCCACAUGAGUUCUGAUGGGCUGGGGAGGACGGAGCACAGGGCUGCUUCCCAUCAAGUGUUCAAUACCAAAGAGCUUCUGUGUGGUGACCCUCAUGUGACAUUUUUGCUGUGAAAUAGUCACACUACCUCUGCCCUAAGGUGCAAGAUGCCUCGCUACAGCCUACCUUGGAGGUCACAGUCAUUUUUAACAGGCUACCUCUCCCUUCUGCCUGCCAGUCAAGUCUACCAUCCCUGCCACAGUAGGAGGGAUUGAGCAAAGAGUUUAUUAGGUCAAUCCCCACCCCAACAUCUCUGUUCCUUUAAGGAUGCCCUGCUGUGAUCUCCUGCCCAGAGGUAAACCACUGCCUCAGUGCCUCCUGAGUCCCUCAUGGAGUGGCCUUGUGAACCCAUCUGACACAACCUAAGGCCACCUGGGAAGAGAAGCCAGGAACUAGUAGAUUGAUUAUAAGACACACUUUCACAGGAAGACAGGACAGAAGUAAAGGGAAUGAAAAGUGGGCCAUAGCAGCCACAAAAAGCAGAGAUUCCUGGAAGACACCUGACAGAACAAUACUUUUUACAAUCUAGUGUGGACACACGGACACACAUCACCCAGUGCAGUACACAUCAGGGAGGCCCAAACUCUGAUCUAACAAGCUCCAAGGACCUCGCUUUGACCCCAGGAUUCCAGAUGACAUACCUGAACCAUCUGUUUUUAUAAGCUGAAGCCAAAAAUGAAGGGGCAGGAGUGUCAGUGUAAGAAAUGAGAUAGUCUAAAGCAGGGCCUGUAACUCCUGUGCACAGAACUUUUCAAGAGAAUCAUUAAAAUGGACACAGGUCAGUGUGUCCUCUUUCUUCACAGCCAGCUUUGGGUAAGGUGUCACUUGUAGACAUUGCUCAGUUUAGAGGCCUAAUAUGUGAUACAAAGAACUCAAUGCCUCCAGAGGAAUGGAUUCACCUGCAUGAACCUGAAAAAAAAAAAUCUAGGACUCUUAAAAAGGGACUCUCAGGACCAUAGAAAAUGACUCAUUGCGUAACACUCUGCAACACUGUACAGCCUUCCUAACCCAGAAUGCAAGUUACUCGUCUUGUUUCUGUGAUAAGAUACUUGACUGGAGCAGCUUAAGCGAAGAGCUACUUCAUUUGGCUCGAAACUGAAGGGGCACAGUUCACAGUGACAAGGAAGGCAAGGCUUCAGAUGCAGUUAUGGCUGUGGCUGUGGAAUUGAAGGGUGCUUGCUCACAUCUAGGCAGAUCAGGAGGUGGUACCCAGCAAUAAAUCUCAUGGCCUGCCUCCCUGACUUCUCCUC